GACGAACGCUGGCGGCGUGCCUAACACAUGCAAGUCGAACGGAAAGGCCCUGCUUUUGUGGGGUGCUCGAGUGGCGAACGGGUGAGUAACACGUGAGUAACCUGCCCUUGACUUUGGGAUAACUUCAGGAAACUGGGGCUCAUACCGGAUAGGAGCUCCUGCUGCAUGGUGUUGGUUGGAAAGUUUCGGCGGUUGGGGAUGGACUCGCGGCUCAUCAGCUUGUUGGUGGGGUAGUGGCUUACCAAGGCUUAGACGGGUAGCCGGCCUGAGAGGGUGACCGGCCACAUUGGGACUGAGGUACGGCCCAGACUGGUACGGGAGGCAGCAGGGGGGAAUAUGGCACAAUGGGGGGAAGCCUGAUGCAGCAGCGCCGCGUGCGGAAUGACGGGCUUCGGGGGGUAAACCGCUUUCGCCUGUGACGAAGCGUGAGUGACGGUAAUUGGUAAAGAAGCACCGGCUAACUACGUG
RNAcentral lists this ribosomal RNA (468 nucleotides) under uncultured bacterium. RNAcentral describes it as "partial 16S ribosomal RNA". It matches the Rfam family "Bacterial small subunit ribosomal RNA", at positions 28 to 507 of the family's 1533-position model. The record is from RNAcentral.